GACGAACGCUGGCGGCGUGCUUAACACAUGCAAGUCGAACGGAAAGGCCCUGCUUUUGUGGGGUGCUCGAGUGGCGAACGGGUGAGUAACACGUGAGUAACCUGCCCUUGACUUUGGGAUGACUUCAGGAAACUGGGGCUAAUACCGGAUAGGAGCUCCUGCUGCACGGUGGGGGUUGGAAAGUUUCGGCGGUUGGGGAUGGACUCGCGGCUUAUCAGCUUGUUGGUGGGGUAGUGGCUUACCAAGGCUUUGACGGGUAGCCGGCCUGAGAGGGUGACCGGCCACAUUGGGACUGAGAUACGGCCCAGACUCCUACGGGAGGCAGCAGUGGGGAAUAUUGCACAAUGGGCGGAAGCCUGAUGCAGCAACGCCGCGUGCGGGAUGACGGCCUUCGGGUUGUAAACCGCUUUCGCCUGUGACGAAGCGUGAGUGACGGUAAUGGGUAAAGAAGCACCGGCUAACUACGUGCCAGCAGCCGCGGUGAUACGUAGGGUGCGAGCGUUGUCCGGAUUUAUUGGGCGUAAAGGGCUCGUAGGUGGUUGAUCGCGUCGGAAGUGUAAUCUUGGGGCUUAACCCUGAGCGUGCUUUCGAUACGGGUUGACUUGAGGAAGGUAGGGGAGAAUGGAAUUCCUGGUGGAGCGGUGGAACGCGCAGAUAUCAGGAGGAACACCAGUGGCGAAGGCGGUUCUCUGGGCCUUUCCUGACGCUGAGGAGCGAAAGCGUGGGGAGCGAACAGGCUUAGAUACCCUGGUAGUCCACGCUGUAAACGGUGGGUACUAGGUGUGGGGUCCAUUCCACGGGUUCCGUGCCGUAGCUAACGCUUUAAGUACCCCGCCUGGGGAGUACGGCCGCAAGGCUAAAACUCAAAGGAAUUGACGGGGCCCCGCACAAGCGGCGGAGCAUGCGGAUUAAUUCGAUGCAACGCGUAGAACCUUACCUGGGUUUGACAUGGAUCGGGAGUGCUCAGAGAUGGGUGUGCCUCUUUUGGGGUCGGUUCACAGGUGGUGCAUGCCUGUCGUCAGCUCGUGUCGUGAGAUGUUGGGUUAAGUCCCGCAACGAGCGCAACCCUUGUUCACUGUUGCCAGCACGUUAUGGUGGGGACUCAGUGGAGACCGCCGGGGUCAACUCGGAGGAAGGUGGGGAUGACGUCAAGUCAUCAUGCCCCUUAUGUCCAGGGCUUCACGCAUGCUACAAUGGCUGGUACAGAGAGUGGCGAGCCUGUGAGGGUGAGCGAAUCUCGGAAAGCCGGUCUCAGUUCGGAUUGGGGUCUGCAACUCGACCUCAUGAAGUCGGAGUCGCUAGUACUCGCAGAUCAGCAACGCUGCGGUGAAUACGUUCCCGGGGCU
Molecule: ribosomal RNA, 1346 nt
Filed under: uncultured bacterium
Lineage: Bacteria
Description: partial 16S ribosomal RNA
Rfam family: Bacterial small subunit ribosomal RNA
Source: RNAcentral